GGAGCAAUCCUAGUAGAGCGGCGCACGGGUGCGUAACACGUGGAUAAUCUGCCUGGGUGUCUGGGAUAACCGGUCGAAAGAUUGGCUAAUACCGGAUAAGCCCCCGGGAGCUUCGGCUCCUGAGGGAAAAGGUGGCCUCUGUAUACAAGCUAUCACAUCCAGAUGAGUCCGCGGCCCAUCAGCUAGUUGGCGGGGUAAUGGCCCACCAAGGCAACGACGGGUAGCUGGUCUGAGAGGACGAUCAGCCACACUGGAACUGAGACACGGUCCAGACUCCUACGGGAGGCAGCAGUGGGGAAUUUUGCGCAAUGGGCGAAAGCCUGACGCAGCAACGCCGCGUGUGUGAUGAAGGUCUUCGGAUUGUAAAGCACUUUCGACCGGGACGAAAACCCGUUGGCUAACAUCCAACGGCUUGACGGUACCGGGAGAAGAAGCACCGGCUAACUCUGUGCCAGCAGCCGCGGUAAUACAGAGGGUGCAAGCGUUGUUCGGAAUUAUUGGGCGUAAAGCGCGUGUAGGCGGCUUUGCAAGUCGGGUGUGAAAGCCCUCAGCUCAACUGAGGAAGUGCGCCCGAAACUGCAGAGCUUGAGUGCCGGAGAGGGUGGCGGAAUUCCCCAAGUAGAGGUGAAAUUCGUAGAUAUGGGGAGGAACACCGGUGGCGAAGGCGGCCACCUGGACGGUAACUGACGCUGAGACGCGAAAGCGUGGGGAGCAAACAGG
This 720-nucleotide ribosomal RNA is filed under the name uncultured Pseudomonadota bacterium. Its description in RNAcentral is "bacterial SSU rRNA". It matches the Rfam family "Bacterial small subunit ribosomal RNA", at positions 76 to 776 of the family's 1533-position model. Lineage: Bacteria; Pseudomonadati; Pseudomonadota. The record is from RNAcentral.